AUUGAACGCUGGCGGCAUGCUUUACACAUGCGAGUCGAACGGCAGCGCGGGCUUCGGCCUGGCGGCGAGUGGCGAACGGGUGAGUAAUACAUCGGAACGUGCCCAGUAGUGGGGGAUAGCUCGGCGAAAGCCGGAUUAAUACCGCAUACGACCUGAGGGUGAAAGCGGGGGAUCUUCGGACCUCGCGCUAUUGGAGCGGCCGAUGGCAGAUUAGCUAGUUGGUGGGGUAAAGGCCUACCAAGGCGACGAUCUGUAGCUGGUCUGAGAGGACGACCAGCCACACUGGGACUGAGACACGGCCCAGACUCCUACGGGAGGCAGCAGUGGGGAAUUUUGGACAAUGGGCGAAAGCCUGAUCCAGCAAUGCCGCGGGUGUGAUGAAGGCCUUCGGGUUGUAAAGCACUUUUGGCGGGAACGAAAAGGACUGUGCCAAUACCACGGUUCGAUGACGGUACCCGCAGAAUAAGCACCGGCUAACUACGU
This 483-nucleotide ribosomal RNA is filed under the name uncultured bacterium. RNAcentral's name for it is "partial 16S ribosomal RNA". It matches the Rfam family "Bacterial small subunit ribosomal RNA", at positions 29 to 506 of the family's 1533-position model. The record is from RNAcentral.